This is a long non-coding RNA of Drosophila ananassae, 919 nucleotides long. RefSeq lists it as uncharacterized. The transcript has 2 exons. The record is from RefSeq and is a predicted model, not a curated record. Lineage: Eukaryota; Metazoa; Arthropoda; Insecta; Diptera; Drosophilidae.
GGCAAAUUUAUAAAACACUGUUUACAUAAAUUACACCCUUUGAGGAUGCUUCUAAUUUAAACUGCCCAGGAAAAAGGUCCUAAAAACGUAUCCGAUUCUUUAAUAUCUUUAGGAUAUUUCUUUAAAUGCAUUAUAAUUCUGAUACAUUCCGAAACACACAUUAAUAUUUUAAAUGGGAAAGCAUUGAGUCAUAUGUCUGAAUCAACUCAGCCUCAUAUAUUUCAUAACAAUCAUAGGACACACAAUAAUCAUGGCUAAAAUACUGUUCUUUGUGGUUUUGGCUGUAAUGUGGUGCGUCGGGAACUCGCGAAGUAUUCCCACUCCUUCAGAGCCUAGUGCUCUGGUCAGCAAGAAAAACUCAACCCAAAAUAACACACUCGAAGAUACUGCACCGAAAAUUACCCAGUUUGAUUCGCCAGCUAUAAAAUCUGUUGUUAUACAUAUUCCCAGACGACGACGAGAAUGGGAACCUAUAUAUCCAUUUGGUUUCUUAUAUGUACACACGCCAUGCGAAUUCGAUGUGUCUAUGACGUAUUGGGCCGCCAGCUUCGAUCCUUGCAAUUUUGUUUAUCAUGAAAGGCACGCCAGCGAGGGAUUCUACCGUAUGUUCCAACUAUUUAAAUUGGAUGCGUGGACUUUCGGCAUGUAUAUGGAGCGGUUAUUCCGAUAUGAGUACGAUAUGCACUAUUAUGAUUACGCUGAUAUUAGACUCCCACCGAAGUGAGCGUUCUAAACCGUUUACCUUUCCUCCAACAAUCUUCCAAUAUUUUAUCUAUAAAAUCAAUAACAUACAAAUGGUCGUCAUGGUCUUUCCUAGGAAAGCGCUUUUCGAUAAGUCAAUUCGAUCCGUUGAUCAGAUGUCAAAUUCAAGUUUCCAAAAAUAAAAAUAAAUGGCAUAUCAUUUAAGUACACUCAAAAA